This 403-nucleotide ribosomal RNA is filed under the name uncultured bacterium. RNAcentral's name for it is "partial 16S ribosomal RNA". It matches the Rfam family "Bacterial small subunit ribosomal RNA", at positions 28 to 526 of the family's 1533-position model. The record is from RNAcentral.
GACGAACGCUGGCGGCGUGCCUAACACAUGCAAGUCGAACGCAGUGGGGACGGGUGAGUAACACGUGGGUAACAUGCCAUCAGAGGGGAUAACACUUGGAAACAGGUGCUAAACCGAUACUGAUGGAUGGACUCGCGGUGCAUUAGCUAGGUGGUGGGGUAACGGCUCACCAAGGCCACGAUGCAUAGCCGACCUGAGAGGGGGAUCGGCCACACUGGGACUGAGACACGGCCCAGACUCCUACGGGAGGCAGCAGUGGGGAAUAUUGCACAAUGGGCGCAAGCCUGAUGCAGCCAUGCCGCGUGUAUGAAGAAGGCCUUCGGGUUGUAAAGUACUUUCAGCGGGGAGGCGUUACCCGCAGAAGAAGCACCGGCUAACUCCGUGCCAGCAGCCGCGGUAAUUC